GACGAACGCUGGCGGCGUGCUUAACACAUGCAAGUCGAACGGAAAGGCCCUGCUUUUGUGGGGUGCUCGAGUGGCGAACGGGUGAGUAACACGUGAGUAACCUGCCCUUGACUUUGGGAUAACUUCAGGAAACUGGGGCUAAUACCGGAUAGGAGCUCCUGCUGCAUGGUGGGGGUUGGAAAGUUUCGGCGGUUGGGGAUGGACUCGCGGCUUAUCAGCUUGUUGGUGGGGUAGUGGCUUACCAAGGCUUUGACGGGUAGCCGGCCUGAGAGGGGGACCGGCCACAAUGGGACUGAGGUAGGGCCCAGACGGCUACGGGGGGCAACAGGGGGGAGUAUUGCACAAUGGGCGGAAGCCUGAUGCAGCAGCGCCGCGUGCGGGAUGACGGCCUUCGGGUUGUAAACCGCUUUCGCCUGUGACGAAGCGUGAGUGACGGUAAUGGGUGAAGAAGCACCGGCUAACUACGUG
RNAcentral lists this ribosomal RNA (468 nucleotides) under uncultured bacterium. Its description in RNAcentral is "partial 16S ribosomal RNA". It matches the Rfam family "Bacterial small subunit ribosomal RNA", at positions 28 to 507 of the family's 1533-position model. The record is from RNAcentral.